This is a long non-coding RNA of Poecilia reticulata (guppy), 1156 nucleotides long. RefSeq lists it as uncharacterized. The record is from RefSeq and is a predicted model, not a curated record. NCBI's taxonomy places the organism in Eukaryota, Metazoa, Chordata, Actinopteri, Cyprinodontiformes, Poeciliidae.
AUGAGCUUCACCUGUGGAGUUUGUGUUUGGCGCAGGAACACGGAAUAUGACUUCGGAAUGAAUACAGGAAACUGAGAUUUGAAGAAUUUUGUUUUUAUUUAUUUAAGAAAUAUAACUAAUUUCAAAAUGGACACUAGGUGAAGCGUUUUGGGACAACAGAUGGUAAGCCGUUUCCAGGAGUUUUGAAGGCCAGAUCACAAGAACAAGAUGUGCCGAGAGAGCUUCCUGUGACUGAACCUGAAGAGACUGGCUGUCCAGGACACACAGCCUCCACCAAGGAGUUGAUGCGGAGACCUGUGACAGCUGGAGCCGGAGACAUAACCUUUGAACACAAGUGUUUUCACCAAACACACUUCAGGGAAAGUACAGUGCUGUGCUGUAAGGCGGUAGCUUAUUUCUUUACAUUUUGUUUCUAGUAAGGAUUAAGACUUUUUGGGGUGUUUAAGUUGGCUUCUUACUUUACUUUGGUUGUUUUUCACUAAUCUCCAGCCCAAUUCCUGACAAUUUUCAGUAGAAUCCCUUGUCGUUUAGGCCACACAUCCCAUUGGCUUGUGAAAACAUGCAUAUUUUAUCAACCUCUAAAUAUAAACCAUUUUUAAAAAAUGCACAAAGUUGUGUUCAUCUCUAGGAAGUGCAGUAUAAACCAACUAUUGUCUGGUUUACAGUUGUAUAGCCUUCUAAUGAUAUGCAAAUAUCUAAAUUUGUGACACAAAGGGAUGAAAGAUUUAUCAGUUACUGGGUUAAUAAUGAUAAACUUCUGACCUUUUAAAAGAAGCGUAGUUUGGUUGAGGUUAAUUUAGGAUCAAAUCAGUAAAAUGCCUAAUUAAUAAACUUGGUCAUUUGCAUUUUAAUUGAAAAGUUGUACCUCAUAUCGACAUGUCACCAACAUAUCAUAUGUGCGGUCGCUUAUUGCAUCAAUAUGACUGAUUUAUGCAACAGGUGACAUUUAUUGUUAAUCUGAUCUGCUUUAUUAACAUGCAGCUGAUUUAUCCAUCCAAAUUACCGAUAUCUAAAACAUGUGCUUAUGAGUUGACUUUUUCAGCCUUUGAAUAUACUUUCCAUUCUUCUGAUUGCUCUUUUUUUUCACUUAGUCUCUUUUUAUUGAUUUUUCUGUUCCAUUUCCUCCAAAAUAUCCAUUAAAGUUGGUAAAAUAUGA